GCUUACGGCCAUACCUCUCCUGGCUCCGCCUGAUCUCGUCUGAUCUCAGAAGCUAAGCAGAGUAGGGCCCUGGUUAGUACUUGGAUGGAAAGACCCGCCUGGGAAUCCCAAGGUGCCGUAAGCU
This is a ribosomal RNA of Gasterosteus aculeatus aculeatus (three-spined stickleback), 124 nucleotides long. Lineage: Eukaryota; Metazoa; Chordata; Actinopteri; Perciformes; Gasterosteidae. The record is from Ensembl.